CCCUUAGAUGUUCUGGGCCGCACGCGCGCUACACUGUUCGACGCAGCGAGUCUUAACCUUGACCGAAAGGUUUGGGUAAUCUUCAGCAAAGUCGAACGUGAUGGGGAUCGAUCAUUGCAAUUAUUGAUCGUGAACGAGGAAUUCCUAGUAAGUGCAAGUCAUCAGCUUGCGCUGAUUACGUCCCUGCCCUUUGUACACACCGCCAGUCGCUACUACCGAUUGAAUGGUUUAGUGAGAUCUCUGGAUUGACGCUGGCUAGGGGGCGACCCUUGGCCAGGCUGUCGAGAAACUGCUCAAACUUGAUCAUUUAGAGGAAGUAAAAGUCGUAACA
RNAcentral lists this ribosomal RNA (331 nucleotides) under uncultured eukaryote. RNAcentral describes it as "partial 18S ribosomal RNA". It matches the Rfam family "Eukaryotic small subunit ribosomal RNA", at positions 1470 to 1796 of the family's 1831-position model. The record is from RNAcentral.